AGAGUUUGAUCCUGGCUCAGGACGAACGCUGGCGGCGUGCCUAACACAUGCAAGUCGAGCGGGGACACUCGCAAGGGUGUUCUAGCGGCGGACGGGUGAGUAACGCGUGAGCAAUCUGUCUUUCACAGGGGAAUAACAGCUCGAAAGAGAUGCUAAUACCGCAUGAGACCACGGCGACGAGUGUUGCAGAGGUCAAAGGAGCAAUCCGGUGAAAGAAGAGCUCGCGUCCCAUUAGAUAGUUGGCGGUGUAACGGACCACCAAGUCGACGAUGGGUAGCCGGCCUGAGAGGGCGAACGGCCACACUGGGACUGAGACACGGCCCAGACUCCUACGGGAGGCAGCAGUGGGGAAUAUUGGACAAUGGGCGAAAGCCUGAUCCAGCAACGCCGCGUGAGGGAAGAAGGUUCUCGGAUUGUAAACCUCUGUCCCAUGGGAAGAAGGAAGUGACGGUACCAUGGGAGGAAGCCCCGGCUAACUACGUGCCAGCAGCCGCGGUAAUACGUAAGGGGCGAGCGUUGUCCGGAAUGACUGGGCGUAAAGGGCGCGUAGGUGGCUGAACAAGUCUCCCGUGAAAGUCCCCUUUUCAAGGGGGGAAUUGCGGGGGAAACUGCUUGGCUUGAGUGCCGGAGAGGAAAGCGGAAUUCCCAGUGUAGCGGUGAAAUGCGUAGAGAUUGGGAGGAACACCAGUGGCGAAGGCGGCUUUCUGGACGGUAACUGACGCUGAGGCGCGAAAGUGUGGGGAGCAAACAGGAUUAGAUACCCUGGUAGUCCACACUGUAAACGAUGGAUGCUAGGUGUAGGGGGUAUCGACCCCUCCUGUGCCGGAGUAAACACAAUAAGCAUCCCGCCUGGGGAGUCACGGCCGCAAUG
RNAcentral lists this ribosomal RNA (871 nucleotides) under uncultured bacterium. RNAcentral describes it as "bacterial SSU rRNA". It matches the Rfam family "Bacterial small subunit ribosomal RNA", at positions 8 to 893 of the family's 1533-position model. The record is from RNAcentral.